This 236-nucleotide long non-coding RNA is filed under the name Eucalyptus grandis. Its description in RNAcentral is "long non-coding RNA (EGRA_LNC000599)". Lineage: Eukaryota; Viridiplantae; Streptophyta; Magnoliopsida; Myrtales; Myrtaceae. The record is from RNAcentral.
GAAGAAUUCCAAAGUCUGAAGCUCCUUGUUUCUAGUCAAUUCAUUUGUUGAGCAUAAUCGUGUAAACAAAAGAGAGUCUAUAUUCGUGAGAAACCUUAAGGAAGUGUGGUAGAACAUCUACACUGUGGAAUCAAGGAAAAGCUGUGCUGUAACUUCUCUUUUGUUCAUAGUGAAAUCCAGCCGGUGGGCUGUCAGUGCGGAAGAGUGGACGUAGGCUUGGAAUAAGCCGAACCACU